Molecule: ribosomal RNA, 545 nt
Filed under: uncultured Glomus
Lineage: Eukaryota; Fungi; Glomeromycota; Glomeromycetes; Glomerales; Glomeraceae
Description: SSU rRNA
Rfam family: Eukaryotic small subunit ribosomal RNA
Source: RNAcentral
UUGGAGGGCAAGUCUGGUGCCAGCAGCCGCGGUAAUUCCAGCUCCAAUAGCGUAUAUUAAAGUUGUUGCAGUUAAAAAGCUCGUAGUUGAAUUUCGGGAUCAAUUUAUUGGUCGUGCAAUAGUACGUACUGAUUUUAUUGAUUCCUCUCUUCUGAAGAACUAUGAUGUCAUUAAUUUGGUGUCAUAGGGAAGCAGGACUGUUACUUUGAAAAAAUUAGAGUGAUUAAAGCAGGCUCACGCUUGAAUACAUUAGCAUGGAAUAACGAAAUAGGACGUUUGAUUCUAUUUUGUUGGUUUCUAGGAUCGACGUAAUGAUUAAUAGGGAUAGUUGGGGGCAUUAGUAUUCAAUUGUCAGAGGUGAAAUUCUUGGAUUUAUUGAAGACUAACUACUGCGAAAGCAUUUGCCAAGGAUGUUUUCAUUAAUCAAGAACGAAAGUUAGGGGAUCGAAGACGAUCAGAUACCGUCGUAGUCUUAACCAUAAACUAUGCCGACUAGGGAUCGGAUGAUGCUAGAUUAAUGACUCAUUCGGCGCCUUACGGGAAAC